AGGGGACACAGCCAGGACAGCUGACCCCAACUGACCAAAGGGAUAUUCCAUACUGUAUGACGUCAUGCUCAGUUUCUAAGGAGUUUGGGGAAGAGGAAGGAGGCGGGGGCGGCAGCAGCGUUCGGAGUGAUGGCAUUUGUCUUCCCAAGUCAUCGUUACGUGUGAUGGAGCCCUGCUGUCCUAGAGAUGGCUGAACGCCUGCCUGCCCAUGGGCAGUGGUAGAAUGAAUUCCUUGCCUUGCUUUGCCUGUGAGUGCGGCUUUUGCUUGACCUAUUAAACUGUUUUUAUCUCAACCCACGAGUUUUCUCACCUUAACUUUUCCAGUCCUCUCCCCCAUCCCAAUAAGGGGGGAGUGAGCGAGUGGCUGCGUGGUGCUCAGCUGCCGGCUGGGGCUAAACCAUGACAUUCUUUUUUUGGUGCUCAACAUGAGGCUCAAAGGGUUCGAGAUAAUGACAGAUUUGAAUGGAAUAUACUAGAUUGAAUUUAUAGCUGUUAUUAGCUAUUUAGUAUUAGCUGUUUAGCUAUUACUUGGCAGGCUCCUGUGCUUGCCAUGGGGCUUGCUUGCCUUACUGUAAAUUAGAGUCUAGUGCUCGUUAGUGGCUGCUUUUUGCUUUCGCCGCUCGCUGUAGUGCUGUACUGCUUAUCAUCUGACUGCACUGUGCCUGGGAACAUUCUGAUAACAGCAAUGGCGAUGCGCCUGGGCUGGCAGAUGGCCAGGGCAUCCCUGCUGUUUCUGUGCUGCUGGACUGGACAGGCUGGAACUCCUGUGUGCACUUGAGUCGAAGGGACGGUGACCUGUCGAUGAGUCCACGUGGGAGCAGGACACCUCGAAGUGUCUGUGGCCAUGGUUGUGUCUGUGCCGCAGCAGGUAUACCUUUGGAGGGAUUGUGAGCCAAGGAUAAGUCCAUGCUGGAGAAGGUACACCUCGAAGCAUCUGUGGCAAGGAUAAGUCCAUGCUACAGCAGGUACACCUUGAAGCAUCAGUGGCUGUGCAGGGGGUCAUGCUGGAACAUCCCAAAGUGUGUGGCCAUAGAUGAGCCCACGACAGGGCAGGUUUAUUUCUGAAGGAACUGAAAUGACUGUGACUGACUGUGGGCAAGGCCAUGCUGGAGCAAGUAUAUCUCUGAAGGCAUUGUGGCCCAUGGAGAAGGCCAUGCUGGAACAGGUGCGCCUCAAAGUGACUGUGGCUGUGGCUAAGUCUAUGCCACAGCAGGUAUACCCCUGGAGAGACUGUGGCUCAUGAUAAAGCUCCACUUGGAGCAGGUACACCCCUAAGGGACUGCAGUCUGUGGAUAAGUCCAAGCCGGAGCAGGGGCAAGGGGAGGAGUUCAUUGCAAUAGUAAACCUGAUGGUCUGGCUCAAAGAGACCGGGGUGGAGACUGUAAUGGAAAUACCUUUAAUUUGUUGUAACCCAGGAUUUGAGUUGCCUGUUAUAGGAAUUACUACAGCAGGAACGACCUGAACCAACAGAGGACAAGCCUUACAAGAAGCAGUGCAAGUGCAGCACUGGACCUGACCUGAGCUGGUUUCGGUGUCCAGUGACUCCACACAUCACACCACCUUUCCUGUCCUGAGUGACCACCAUUGUGGAUGAUGGCCAAGGUUAUGGACUGAGUCAACCCAAUGGACAUUUUAUGGACAUUUAUCGACAUUUGAAAAGGGUGGUCCAUAGACUAAGGGAAUGAUAUCAGCAUAUUAUAUUAUAUCAAGGGAUGAGAAGGGUGGUGGUGAUUAAUGAGGACGUAUUGGAUAGUGGGGGACCUGAGCAUGGCAUAAAUGGUAUGGAUCAAGGGGUGGAUAGUGUCUUGGUUUCAGCUGAGAGGGUUAAUUUUCUUCAUAGUAGCUAGCAUGGGGCUAUGUUUUGGAUUUGUGCUGGAAGCAGUGCUGAUAACAUAGAGAUGUUUUUGUUAUAUAGAGAUGUUGUUGCUGAGCAGUGCUUACACAGAGCCAAGGCCUUUUCUGCUUCUCACACUGCCCUGCCAGCGGGAUGGCUGGGGGUGCACAAGAAGUUGGGAGGGGACACAGCCAGGACAGCUGACCCCAACUGACCAAAGGGAUAUUCCAUACUGUAUGACGUCAUGCUCAGUUUCUAAGGAGUUUGGGGAAGAGGAAGGAGGCGGGGGCGGCAGCAGCGUUCGGAGUGAUGGCAUUUGUCUUCCCAAGUCAUCGUUACGUGUGAUGGAGCCCUGCUGUCCUAGAGAUGGCUGAACGCCUGCCUGCCCAUGGGCAGUGGUAGAAUGAAUUCCUUGCCUUGCUUUGCCUGUUUGUGACUCAGCAUCUACCCAAGUCUGUUCUCCACUGACAAGACAAAUCAGUUCUGCAGUUGAGUCAGUCAGAGCCCUUUUCGCAGUGAUGAAUUCAGCAGGCAGCCACCGUAUGGGAAAGAUCGUGGAGCCUUUACUCUGUGUGCAGUUACCUCUGUGAGAGACAGCUUGAUCCUUCCGAGGUGCCAAGUAUGAAUGACUGUUGCCAGUGGUCUUAGCACUUGAAAUACCUAACCCUUGACACCUACUGACAGAACCUCUAGGCUUCAUUUGGAGCUGAAAGCGAAGAACCCACUGGGUGGAUUGCACUUCCCUCUCUCUGCCUGUAAGAAAUAUAUCCCCUUAACUCCUGUUCACAACCAGGUAUCUUUACACCCAUCCCAGAGGUGAAUUUCACCAACAGCCACUUUAGUUGUAAUAAAAAUCCCACCGUGAGGCCAUGGAUGAGGUCCCACUGGGUGAAUUGCAGUAUAAACACUGUAGAAGAAUGUCUUAGCCAAGAGGAGCUCAUCGUUAAGUUACGUGAGGCUGAAAAAGACAGGGAAAAGAGAAAAGACAGUUAUGGUUGGCAAAUGUUUUAAUUCCAUACUGGAGGCUUUUCCAAAACGUCAAAAAUGGGUUUCAAUUCACAGCUGUAUGUGAAUACCAAAUUGUCUAUUCUACACAAUAGCUUUUCUGAGAGAUGCAUCAGCUGUCUUCUACACAAUUUACACACAUCCUCUUGGGGCUCCAGAUCACAGUUUUCACAAUUACUGGUGCUUUUCUUAAAGCCUCUGUCCCAUCCCCUGCAAUCAUUUGAGCAUGUGAACAUUUCAGCUUUAAUUUUCUAAAAAUAAGUACUUUCAAAUAUCAUAUCAAUAAAUUCUUUCAAACAUUUAUGGAGAAAAGCAAAUACAAACUAAGUGAAAUACAGAAUCUCAAAAUGCAAAAAGAAAAAAAUGAAAGCAAACAAUAUAUGUUACUUAAAAACAACAGGAAAAAAAAAGUUAAAAUUUUAAAAGCCACUUAAAAAUGUCCAGGUUCAGGUAAUUUCUGAGUGCCUGGGUUUGACAAGACUUUGUCCAGCAGUAUUUUGGAUUUUGUGUAGUUCAAGGUUCCUCAAUCUGCAUGGUGGUGCUUAGGAGGUGGGGAGAAAUAUUACAAUCUAAACCAGAUAAAAUCUUUCUGCUGUACUCCUUGCAUAUGUUUGCUUUCCAAAAUUAACAAUUCUCUUUCAAGCUCUCAAAUCACAUGCCAGAAUGCAUAAGUGGGAUGCCUAUCAUCAUACGUUACUAAUAUUGCCCAAUCCUGACUAUAAAUACCUUGCUUCCAGUGUCUCGACAAUCUGGGUUUACUUUUUUAUUCUGAGGAUCUGGUGAAUUCCAAAGUGUUCAGCUUGUGACAAACAAGACAUUCCCAAGAAUGAAACCAGCAAGUAAGAAGACAUUUCUCUUGAGUUAUCAAGAUCUGUGCUUUGAACAUAGAAAUUCCUCUAUGGUGCUUGGUGUUAUGAAAAAUUAUGUUCUAUCUGCCUUAAAUGUAAUAAACAACAAUACUUUGAUGAAACUGAAAGUGGGAUACAUUGCAUAGCCUUAUUCCUGAAAGCUUUACUUUUACAGCAAAUGCCAGAGGCUUAUGUACAUUUCCUAUUUUAAAUGAGGAAGUUCCUAACCCAAGUUGAGAAAUAAGCGGUUAACUGGCAGUUACUGGUUUCCCUUUUCCUAGAGAUGCAUGGGAGGACCAGUUACAUUCUUCCUUCUGUAAUGAUGCUAAUUUCCUAAAUAUCCAUUGCUGUGCCCUCUCUCCUCUACUGUCUGCCCCAUGAGCAAUCCACAGCCUGAAAUUUUGUAAUGUGAAUUAGUAUAACACACACCAAACAGAUGAGUCGAUGACCCCCUGAUAUCAGUGGCUCCAUGCUUCUCCUCCUAUUAUUUUUUGCUUUCAUGAACUGACUUGCUGUCCAUUAACAGAUGAGUUUUGCCCUUGCACAGAACACAGACGAUAAGAUUUUUGUCAAGAGAAGGAUGAUGACACCAACGUCCUCCGUGCUUACUGCAGAGCGGGAGGUGAAAUGAUGAAUACUUGUGCACGUGUGUGUAGGGGGGAAGCAGGAGGGGGAAAAGACUGGUUCCAGAUAGGCUUCCUUGUACAGAACAUUUUUAAGUACUGUUCUGAAGAAAUCAGUAUUUUUAAAACACGAUACUUAUGUGGCAGAUAAAAAAAGAAACAGCUGCAUUAAGCAGCUUCAAGAGUCAGACUUCAAAAAGGGAAAGUCACCUCCCCUGUCCUUACUCUUCCCUGCACAUAGAAAGAAGACAGUGAUGUGAUAUACAGAGCUACUCAAUGGUCAAAUCAAUUUCUUCUAAUUUAAGCUUGUGUACUGAUAUCUUCUCUAGGGCCUAUUUAAAGAUGUAUCUUUCAUCAUUGCUACUUUUGUAUACCUUAUUGAACAUAAUUAAUAGCUGUAUUAGCUGUGACAAUUUAUCUGGGGUCAAUGAAGAAAAGACACCCAAAGAAAAGCAUGGGCAAAAUACAGCUUCAUCUUGGAUAGUCCUGUGGUCUUCCCUAGUUUUGUGGAGUUUACUAUUAUUACUACGUUUUAUUCCAAAAUGCAUGACAAGAACGAACAUUUCCCAUUACAAAAAUGUAUGCGGACACAAGCAAUUCCAAUUCACUGGGCAGACUAUUAUUAGCUCUAUUUUUAGCCUGAAGCGGUAACUAAUCACAUUAGUGGAGGGGCUUUUAUUUUCAAAGUAAUGGCUCUGGAAUAGAGAACUUCCUUCUAAACAGCAAGUGAGUGUUGCCUCUCCCAGACCUCCGCUGUGCUCUUGGUAAAGGCCCUCUGUCUUCUCUCUCUGCACCACAUUUCUCGAUCACCACAUUAUUUCAGCGUCCCAUCUGUAAGCGCUGUGCUAGUGACCCCUACCGUGGCUCUACUUUUAAGGUGCUCCUACACCACACCAGGAAAUUCUCAAUGGCUUCUAAAUUAAGCUAAUUAAAUUGUGCUGCGCACCUAUUCAAAUGCGUACAGAAGGAGGAGUAGUGCAUCAUGGUAAUAUCCACAAGCAAGCGAUGGAGUGUGAAGCUACCAGUCCAAAUCUCUGUGCUCCA
This is a long non-coding RNA of Grus americana (Whooping crane), 5354 nucleotides long. RefSeq lists it as uncharacterized. Lineage: Eukaryota; Metazoa; Chordata; Aves; Gruiformes; Gruidae. The transcript has 3 exons. The record is from RefSeq and is a predicted model, not a curated record.